UUCUACGGUCAUACCACCCUGAAUGCUGUAUCCAAUCUCAAAAACCUAAGCAGGGCCGGGCCUGGUUAGUGCUUGGACGGGAGAGCUACAACGAACUCUGGAGAAA
Molecule: ribosomal RNA, 106 nt
Filed under: Mesocricetus auratus (golden hamster)
Lineage: Eukaryota; Metazoa; Chordata; Mammalia; Rodentia; Cricetidae
Source: RNAcentral